UGAAUAAGUCAUGGUUUCGAAUUGGUUAUAUGUCCACGACAGCAAAUUUACUGAUUUUUGCGAAAUUUUGUCGUAUUGCGUUUAGUCCUCUUUACUCUACUCCUCACUAAACACUACUUAAAAUGCUAAUGAUCUUAUGAGGUCAUGAAGGAUAUUCAACCUUUCAUUUAUUUAAUAACACAACUACUUUUAAUGUCGUUACAUACAUAAUCACCUGCAAUUAUGUUUCAAAAGCCUAUGGUGAAAACACUCAAACCAGCUUUCUCUCGAAAAAUUAACGAGAUUAUACUUCUUAAAACAGUUAAUAUGUCUAAAUUCGAGAAUGGAAUGGCGAAUGUGUCAAAGAGACAACAACCCGACCAAAGUGUAGAAAACAGCACAAGGCCACCAAUGGGUCUUCAAUACAGCGAGAAAAUCCCUCAACCGGAG
Molecule: long non-coding RNA, 429 nt
Filed under: Mytilus galloprovincialis (Mediterranean mussel)
Lineage: Eukaryota; Metazoa; Mollusca; Bivalvia; Mytilida; Mytilidae
Source: RNAcentral